This 492-nucleotide ribosomal RNA is filed under the name uncultured bacterium. RNAcentral's name for it is "partial 16S ribosomal RNA". It matches the Rfam family "Bacterial small subunit ribosomal RNA", at positions 29 to 507 of the family's 1533-position model. The record is from RNAcentral.
AGUGAACGCUGGCGGUAGGCCUAACACAUGCAAGUCGAACGGCAGCACAGUAAGCGCUUGCUCUUACGGGUGGCGAGUGGCGGACGGGUGAGGCAUACAUCGGAAUCUACUUUUUCGUGGGUGAUAACGUAGGGCCACUUACGCUAAUACCUCAUACGACCUACGGGUGAAAGCAGUGGAUCUUCGGACCUUUCGCGAUUGAAUGAGCCGAUGUCGGAUUAGCUAGUUGGCGGGGUAAAGGCCCACCAAGGCGACGAUCCGUAGCUGGUCUGAGAGGAUGAUCAGCCACACUGGAACUGAGACACGGUCCAGACUCCUACGGGAGGCAGCAGUGGGGAAUAUUGGACAAUGGGCGCAAGCCUGAUCCAGCCAUACCGCGUGGGUGAAGAAGGCCUUCGGGUUGUAAAGCCCUUUUGUUGGGAAAGAAAAGCAGCAGGUUAAUACCCCGCUGUUCUGACGGUACCCAAAGAAUAAGCACCGGCUAACUUCGUG